CCGGAUUAGCUGAGAGGUGGUGCAUGGCCGUCGUCAGUUCGUACUGUGAAGCAUCCUGUUAAGUCAGGCAACGAGCGAGACCCACGCCCACAGUUGCCAGCGUACUCUCUGGAGUGACGGGUACACUGUGGGACCGCCGCUGCUAAAGCGGAGGAAGGAAUGGGCAACGGUAGGUCAGUAUGCCCCGAAUAUCCCGGGCUACACGCGAGCUACAAUGGUUGGUACAAUGGGUAUCUACCCCGAAAGGGACGGGAAUCUCCUAAAACCAAUCUUAGUUCGGAUUGAGGGCUGCAACUCGCCCUCAUGAAGCUGGAAUCCGUAGUAAUCGCGUUUCAACAGAACGCGGUGAAUACGUCCCUGCUCCUU
This 366-nucleotide ribosomal RNA is filed under the name uncultured Methanosaeta sp. RNAcentral's name for it is "bacterial SSU rRNA". It matches the Rfam family "Archaeal small subunit ribosomal RNA", at positions 971 to 1338 of the family's 1478-position model. Lineage: Archaea; Methanobacteriati; Methanobacteriota; Methanomicrobia; Methanotrichales; Methanotrichaceae. The record is from RNAcentral.